This 492-nucleotide ribosomal RNA is filed under the name uncultured bacterium. RNAcentral's name for it is "partial 16S ribosomal RNA". It matches the Rfam family "Bacterial small subunit ribosomal RNA", at positions 29 to 507 of the family's 1533-position model. The record is from RNAcentral.
AGUGAACGCUGGCGGUAGGCCUAACACAUGCAAGUCGAACGGCAGCACAGUAAGAGCUUGCUCUUACGGGUGGCGAGUGGCGGACGGGUGAGGAAUACAUCGGAAUCUACUUUUUCUUGGGGGAUAACGUAGGGACACUUACGCUAAUACCGCAUACGACCUACGGGUGAAAGCAGGGGAUCUUCGGACCUUGCGCGAUUCAAUGAGCCGAUGUCGGAUUAGCUAGUUGGCGGGGUAAAGGCCCACCAAGGCGACGAUCCGUAGCUGGUCUGAGAGGAUGAUCAGCCACACUGGAACUGAGACACGGUCCAGACUCCUACGGGAGGCAGCAGUGGGGAAUAUUGGACAAUGGGCGAAAGCCUGAUCCAGCCAUACCGCGUGGGUGAAGAAGGCCUUCGGGUUGUAAAGCCCUUUUGUUGGGAAAGAAAAGCAGCAGGUUAAUACCCCGCUGUUCUGACGGUACCCAAAGAAUAAGCACCGGCUAACUUCGUG